RNAcentral lists this ribosomal RNA (591 nucleotides) under Triticum aestivum (bread wheat). Its description in RNAcentral is "partial small subunit ribosomal RNA". The record is from RNAcentral. Lineage: Eukaryota; Viridiplantae; Streptophyta; Magnoliopsida; Poales; Poaceae.
GAUAACUUUGAAGAGAAAGCAAAAGCAGAUGCUGAUUUCUUCUACAGGAUAAGAUUGGACGAUGAGGACCGUGUCAGAAACAUGUAUUGGGUGGAUGGUGCUGCAAGAAGGGCCUACAAACAUUUCCGUGACUGCAUAUCCUUCGACACGACAUAUCUCACUAAUAUGUACAAGAUGCCCUGCGCUCCAUUCAUAGGAAUAAAUAACCACAAUCAGUCAUUGCAGUUCGGUUGCGGACUCGUUCGGAACAAAGAUAUGGAUGGUUACACUUGGCUGUUCAAAACCUUCUUGGAGUGCAUGGAUGGAUUUGCUCUGAUGAACAUAAUAACAGACCAGGAUUUUAGCAUGCGUGCAGGCAUAGGGGAGGUCUUUCCGUUGGCAGUGCACAGGCACUGCAUGUGGCAUAUUAUUAAAAAGGUCGAGGAGACGCUAGGACCAUUUUUUGCUGACCGUCCAGAGCUGCACAAGGCAUUCGAGUUAUGCGUGGACCACAGCCUGACGGUGGAGGAGUUUGAACGGAGUUGGACGGCUAUGAUUGAAACAUACCAAGUGCAAGACAACGAGACACUUACUGUCCUGUGGGAGAAGUGA